Carcharodon carcharias (great white shark) is the source of this 3072-nucleotide RNA transcript. It is a transcript of the gene named La ribonucleoprotein 7, transcriptional regulator, with no coding region annotated. The record is from RefSeq and is a predicted model, not a curated record. Lineage: Eukaryota; Metazoa; Chordata; Chondrichthyes; Lamniformes; Lamnidae. The transcript is spliced from 13 exons.
GGAACGUUGUGCAGGCGGUAAGAACGCGGGUCCUUCCGGGUUUGGGCGUCGCGCGCUCUGGGCCGCGUUCCAAUGCCAUAGACGCAGCAGCUGCGGGAGAGACGCAGUUUGUUGCCUUGCUUUGCUGAAUAUGGGAGAGACAGAGAAAGCAAUGAGUGAGACAGCGCGUAUGGAAACCAGCAUCCAGAAGAAGGAAAAGGAGAAAAAGAAAAGGUCGAGGGUCAACAAGGUGCUUUCUGAGAUUAAAAAACAGGUUGAAUUUUGGUUUGGCAAUGUGAACCUCCACAAAGACCGAUUCCUUCAAGAACAGAUUCAGAAAUCCAGAGAUGGAUAUGUUGACAUUUCUGUGCUGACAACAUUCAACAAAAUGAAAAAGCUAACAACAGAUGUAAAAUUAAUAGCAAGGGCAUUAAAAAACUCAGCUGUCAUUGAGCUGAACGUAGAAGGAACAAAACUAAGGAGGCGUAUGGCCUUGGGAGUUCAGCCACAGGAUGUUGAUGACCGUACAGUUUAUGUGGAGUUGCUACCCAGAAAUGUUUCACAUGGUUGGAUAGACAGAGUAUUCAGUAAAUGUGGAAAUGUAGUCUACAUCAGCAUUCCUCGUUACAAAACAACUGGUGACCCAAAAGGAUUUGCCUUCGUGGAAUUUGAAACUACAUCAGGAGCCCAAAAAGCCAUAGAGCUGUUAAAUAAUCCCCCAGAAGAUGCACCACGAAAGCCUGGAGUUUUCCCCAAAACUGUAAAGAGCAAACCAGUUCCAGUGUUUAAUUCCAGUGACUGCAAUGUUGAUAAUAAAUGCACAGACGAGAAAAAGAAAAAGAAAAAAAAGAAACCUCGAAAAUCAGAGAACUAUAAUCAGUCAGCUGCAGAGCCAAUGGAACAGUCUCACACAAAAAAUGCUGACAGUUUAGAAAAAGGAAAGAGCAGCAGAGUGACAUCUGACUGUCCAGAAACUGAUGUGCUAGAUCCGUGCAAAAAUAAAUCAAAAGGUGAAACAAGGAAAAAGGAUAAAGCAGAAGAGAGCAGUCGGAGGAAGCGGAAGAGAAGUAGUCCUGGAAAACUGGAAGAAGGGUCCUCUGCAAAAGUAAGAAGAAUUAGUGAAAAAGAGAAGACAGAUAGUGAAAAAGACAUUAAAGAUGUUUCGACAGAAGAUGAGCAUGGUUCUGGAGAUAAGAAGGAUGAGUCCCUGUCAAAAAGCAAGAGAAAACGAAAAAAAAAACACAAAGAUAGGCACAAGGUGGAAGAAGAAGUCAUUCCACUGCGAGUACUUUCCAAAAAAGAUUGGAUGGAUUUGAAACAAGAGUACUUAACACUGCAGAAGUCCAGCAUGUCCAGCUUAAAGAAAACUAUGUUACAAAUCAAACAGCAAAAUGAUGGAGAGAUUAUGGAGGUGACUGACAAAAACAAACAGGAACUUGAAAACAAUAAAGCAAGGGUUAACGAUGAAGGAGCCCAGUCCUCUUUGAAGGUUAACACCCUGGGGCCUCAGUUUGUGAGUGGAGUCAUUGUGAAGAUCACCAGUACUGAGCCCCUGCUGGGCAGGAAACGGAUCAAGGAUGCCUUGAUGGAGACAUCUGAGGUUUUGUAUGUGGACCUCCUUGAAGGAGAUACCGAGGGACAUGCUCGGUUUAAAACCCCUGCAGAUGCCCAAACUGUGAUGAGGGCACAACGAGAGAUACAGAGCAAGUACAACUGGAAACUUGACCUUCUCUCAGGUCCGUUUUCGUUAACUUUCAAUAUCUGUUCAAAUAUGGAACUACAUGUGACAGUGAACAACGCUAUUGGCAGAAGAUUUUAGUGGAUAGACAAGCAAAACUAAACCGACCACGGGACAAAAAACGGGGCAUGGAGAAGUUGAUUGUCAAGGCUGAAAAAAUAAUCGUGGCCAAGAUGCACAAAGCUGGGAAGCAUAUACAUUUCUCUGACGAAGACUGAAGAUGCUCAUACCAUUUCGUAUAUUCUUUCCGUUUCCGGGUUUUUUUAUACUUUGAAGAAUUUUAAUGGUUUUAUACUGAAUAUAGAUACUGUUUGCUGUUGCCAGAGAGAUUUUCACAAUCAUACUUUUAAAUAAUACAGUGAUGUGUGUUGACUUUCUGAACUUUCUAUGAAUUGUGUAAAUUAGGGUUUGCAGUAUAUUCUCAUUGCUUUGAUGUAAUGAUUUAAAAGCCAUACGUCUACUUCCAUGAUUCUCUUCUGACAUUGGAGCUGCUUAGAUGCAUUGAAAUAAGUGUGGUUGGAUAAUCAUUUUAAGUGUAUAAUUUUAAACAUAGACCCAGAAUUUUGGUUUGUGAAACUGUUUAAAGUAGAAACUUGGCAAAGUUUUUUGUUCAUGUCCACAAACAAUUUUCAAAAAUACCUUUUUGAAUUUUGUCAGAUUGUUACAAAUGUUUGUAAGUGGUUUGUGAAUAUGGAUGAUUGAACCUGUCCUUGUUGGAUAUGAAAAUUCCAACAAAAUAGGAGAGAUGUGAUUUUUUUCAUAAUUCACAUAGGCAGGUUCUAUAAGGUGACAAUUAGACCCUAGACUGCACUGAGUUACAUGAUCUUAGUUGGGGCAAUAGUAAGCGCUGGGGUAGAGAAACAUCAUUCCAACUUUCUGUUCUUAUCGCAAUGUCCUAGCUUCUGCUCGAAAGCGUGCCCAUGUAGUCAUGAGGUGGGAACAGUAGUGAGCUGCAUUAUGAUCUCCUCCAUAGUCAGCUGCCCACAUGGCUCAAACAUGGAAAAUGGCCAUAUGACCAAGAUACUGGAGGCUCAUUAACCUGCACCGAAACCUGUGAGAGGAGAAGAAAACUGGCUCAUUUUGUAUUGGUAUUCUCACUCAGCUUCUCUAAGUUGUUAAGAAAUUAUCUCUGAUGGCAUUGUAAUGGUGUUAGCACAGGAUGUUACUCGGGCUAAAGUAAGAUUUUAGUCUCCAAAUGUUUACAGGUAUGCCAGAUGCCCACAGAGUCACUUAUCACUUAUGUUUUACUUAAAUGUUGAAACAGUUACCCAAGUUUGAAUGUGGUUCUAUUUAUUUUUAGUUCACAUAAUUAUUGCUUUUACUCUGAUUUAAGAGAAUAAAAUUGAAUGAGCUUU